RNAcentral lists this transfer RNA (79 nucleotides) under Agromyces luteolus. RNAcentral's name for it is "tRNA-Val". Lineage: Bacteria; Bacillati; Actinomycetota; Actinomycetes; Micrococcales; Microbacteriaceae. The record is from RNAcentral.
UAUCGCUUGGCUUGGGAUCAGCCCGCGCUCACAUUGCGGGCCGGGACGGGCCGGGAGCGCGGAUCUUUCAGCGCUGCCC